RNAcentral lists this long non-coding RNA (238 nucleotides) under Mustela putorius furo (domestic ferret). RNAcentral describes it as "lncRNA (ENSMPUG00000023983.1)". The record is from RNAcentral. Lineage: Eukaryota; Metazoa; Chordata; Mammalia; Carnivora; Mustelidae.
CCGUUACCCAAUGUCCAGAUAUUUAUUGAAUGACUCCUAAGGGCAUUGUUUUGAAGCUGGGAUAAAGCAAUGCACCAGACAAAGUUUCUGCCCUCAUCAAGCUGCUGUUCUGCUCGACACGGAGGGCACCACAAAGAAGAAAAUUUCACCAAGGCAAAUACAGUAAUUCAAUGUAAAUAUACAAUCCAUAUAUGUGAAAAGACUUCCAGACUGACAUCUGAAAACCAAAAGAACUUCG